Long non-coding RNA from Myodes glareolus (Bank vole), 606 nucleotides. RefSeq lists it as uncharacterized. The record is from RefSeq and is a predicted model, not a curated record. NCBI's taxonomy places the organism in Eukaryota, Metazoa, Chordata, Mammalia, Rodentia, Cricetidae.
UGUUUCUAGGAAGACUGUAUCACAGGUUUAUAUUGUUGACAUAUUUGAAAGGAACUUUCUAAGUUGUGAUGACACAAUGCAGAAUCUACUCUGGAAGAGUACAUAAGAAUGUAAAAGUGUUUAUUUAAGGAAAGGCUAAGAGGGUCAAAUAAAAAUGUAACAUAAUAGGAAGCAAUAGUGAGAUGGCUCAGUGGGUGAAGUACUUGUCACACAGAGUUAAGAAGGUUGGAAUUCACAGAAUCAUGUAAAGAUGGCUGUGCCAGCAUGAAUUCUUAGUCCCAACACAUUUACUGAGAGGACAUUGGGGUCCACAUGGACUGCUCUAGUGACUAUUUCCUGACUCGGAGUUCCUCGGUCAACAGUUGAUAUGUCUCUUUGCUGGGUGAUGAAUGAUUGUAGCCAAUGAUGAAAUACUUUGCUUUAAGUGGUUGCCACUGAAGUCAAAAGUCCCAAUUGUUCAUUUACCCCAAAUGUUUUGAAGAGAAAAAAAGAACUAUGUUGCACAGUUUUGCUUUCUUCUUGAAGGUCAUUGUCCUUGGCCAUGGAGGACACCAAGGAGCAGUUGUCAGUGCAUCACCUCUCGUGUCCAGAUAAAGCAUGGUGACC